AUCGAUCCUUCACCUAUAGCAAUUGACAAACUCUCCCCUUCUUUAAUUGGGUUUGUAUUCAAGAAGGUCACUAGUACUCCGCCGCCUUCUCCUGUCCCGUUUUCCUACCGCCUGCUCCUACUAUGCCGACUUCUCACUGCGCCACCUGCUCCUACCAUUAUUCACCGCCGCGGCCUCCUCCGAUCUCCUAUCUCUAGCAUCAUCGUUCGCGCCUGCUCCGAACUCUGGCAUCCCCGUUUUCUCCCCCCUCUUCUUCAAUUGGUUCACCAAACUCAAUCAGGCCAACAUAGCCAAGUUAGAAACUUCAAUCUCUAUUUAUGGCGACAAACUUGAGCUAAAAGUUUAUGGGUUCAGUGUAAAGCUUUCACUUUUACUUUCUAAGAUACUGGCUGUAGCAAAGUCCUUUUCGCCAAAAGAUGAUUGAUUUAAGGUGAACUUUUUGGGUCCUGCUCCCGCUUCCACCACUCCUUAAUGAAAGAUAAGUAAAAGGUCAUUAAAGAGAAUAUGGCGAGGAACUUGAGGAACACAAAUAUGAAGCCUUUAAACCACGCAUCAUACAUGAGAUUGCAAAUCCCUUGCAAAGCUUAUUGGGAUGUAGACGAUAAGCUACGGUGCUUAGCUGAUUUGUCCCUUGCUGAGGUACAGGAUUUCAUUCCAGAGCUUCAUUCCCAAGUAUGAAAAUUGUGAAUAUGACUGCAAAAGGUGUAUGUUCAAGGAGGCAGCAAGAAAGAAGGACCAAUAGAGCUUGAAGUUUACAAUCAAGGAAUGUUCAAAAGUGAGCUAUGCAAUAAAUGGCAAGAGACGAAGACCUGCCCUUAUGGAGAUCAUUGUCAAUUUGCUCACGGCAUUGACGAGCUUCGUCCUGUCAUCCGCCAUCCUCGCUGCAAGACUGAGGUCUGUCGCAUGGUCCUUUCUGGUGCACUGAUCUGCACAGAACUGAUCAGAGUGCACAUAACUGAUCAGUUCUAUGCACUGAUCUGCACAGUUCGAGACACUGAUCAGUUCUAUGCACUGAUCUGCACAGUUCGAGACAACUUUUUUUAAUUUUUAUUUAAGAUCCUGGUUUUGUUAAGAUCUUAAUACGGUAUAUCCGUAUAUGCUCAUAAAAUACUUUAUAUAAUAAAUUGAAUUACACAAAACUAUUGAUCGUCGAUAAAUUGAAUUAUUUACACUUGUUUGUUAUUUAGGAUUUUUCAAGAACAUUGCCUUAAUUUGUACUUAAUUUGAACUCGAUCUCUAACUAGUUAUCUAGUUUGUUGUAAUAUUUAUGUUUAUUGUAACAUUUUGGUUGAUCUA
This is an RNA transcript of Spinacia oleracea (spinach), 1296 nucleotides long. It is a transcript of the gene named zinc finger CCCH domain-containing protein 39, with no coding region annotated. The record is from RefSeq and is a predicted model, not a curated record. Lineage: Eukaryota; Viridiplantae; Streptophyta; Magnoliopsida; Caryophyllales; Amaranthaceae. The transcript has 4 exons.